Molecule: transfer RNA, 79 nt
Filed under: Stereum hirsutum FP-91666 SS1
Lineage: Eukaryota; Fungi; Basidiomycota; Agaricomycetes; Russulales; Stereaceae
Description: tRNA-Val (GAC) (tRNA-Val-GAC-2-1)
Rfam family: tRNA
About the family: Transfer RNA (tRNA) molecules are approximately 80 nucleotides in length. Their secondary structure includes four short double-helical elements and three loops (D, anti-codon, and T loops). Further hydrogen bonds mediate the characteristic L-shaped molecular structure. tRNAs have two regions of fundamental functional importance: the anti-codon, which is responsible for specific mRNA codon recognition, and the 3' end, to which the tRNAs corresponding amino acid is attached (by aminoacyl-tRNA synthetases). tRNAs cope with the degeneracy of the genetic code in two manners: having more than one tRNA (with a specific anti-codon) for a particular amino acid; and 'wobble' base-pairing, i.e. permitting non-standard base-pairing at the 3rd anti-codon position.
Source: RNAcentral
CCUCCAGUAGCUCAGCGGUAAAGCAGGGAGGAAAGAUGACUGACACUCCCCGUCGCUGGUUCGAUUCCAGCCUGGAGGU